CUACGGGGCGCAGCAGUGGGGAAUAUUGGACAAUGGGGGAAACCCUGAUCCAGCAAUGCCGCGUGUGUGAAGAAGGCCUGCGGGUUGUAAAGCACUUUCGGUUGGGAGGACUGCUUCUAGCACUAAUAUUGUUGGAAGUUGACGUUACCUUCAGAAGAAGCACCGGCUAACUCCGUGCCAGCAGCCGCGGUAAUACGGAGGGGUGCAAGCGUUAAUCGGAAUUACUGGGCGUAAAGCGCGCGUAGGCGGCUAGAUCAGUCGGGUGUGAAAGCCCCGGGCUUAACCUGGGAACUGCAUCCGAUACUGUCUAGCUUGAGUACAGGAGAGGAGAGUGGAAUUCCACAUGUAGCGGUGAAAUGCGUAGAUAUGUGGAGGAACACCAAUGGCGAAGGCAGCUCUCUGGCCUGAUACUGACGCUGAGGUGCGAAAGCGUGGGGAGCAAACAGGAUUAGAUAACCCGAGUAGUC
Molecule: ribosomal RNA, 467 nt
Filed under: uncultured bacterium
Lineage: Bacteria
Description: partial 16S ribosomal RNA
Rfam family: Bacterial small subunit ribosomal RNA
Source: RNAcentral